Long non-coding RNA from Bombus pascuorum, 547 nucleotides. RefSeq lists it as uncharacterized. NCBI's taxonomy places the organism in Eukaryota, Metazoa, Arthropoda, Insecta, Hymenoptera, Apidae. The transcript has 3 exons. The record is from RefSeq and is a predicted model, not a curated record.
GGUAAUUGUAAAAAGUAUAUUCACAAACAAAUUUGUUGGAACCGUGCAAAAUUGUGUUUCUAAAUCGUGAAAUCUUUUUUCAAUAUAAUAUGCAAAAGAGAGUCAGUCUAAUACACCCAAACCUGAAUUGGGGCUGAGGUAAGACUCUCCACUAUCACCUCUUCACCACCAUCACCCACCUUAAAUGAAUACCAGAAUGGUACACAUGGAUAUUCUGGGAAUGCUGCUGCAACUGCUCUUGCACCUGCUUCAUUAGUAUAAUGAGACAAUCCAACAAAAAAUUCACGACCUGUAAUAAUCAGUUACUUCUGUUUAGUAAUUUGGUUGCGCGAUGGUUCAUUGGGCCGUGCUAUAAGUGCAAUACCAUUGCACACAACUGCGAUAUCUUCGACAAAAACACAGAGCGGUGAAUUUUCAUCCGGUGGCAUUUCAACAACGUCGAUGUCAAGUUCUCGUAGAAGCUGAGCAAGUGCCAAAUGUUGAGUUCUAGCUUCGUCUAAUGUGACCUCGCCUCUUGUACGAAGCGAAAGAGGAAUUCUACAUAGAA